Molecule: ribosomal RNA, 497 nt
Filed under: uncultured bacterium
Lineage: Bacteria
Description: partial 16S ribosomal RNA
Rfam family: Bacterial small subunit ribosomal RNA
Source: RNAcentral
GAUGAACGCUGGCGGCGUGCCUAAUACAUGCAAGUCGAGCGAACAGACGAGGAGCUUGCUCCUCUGACGUUAGCGGCGGACGGGUGAGUAACACGUGGAUAACCUACCUAUAAGACUGGGAUAACUUCGGGAAACCGGAGCUAAUACCGGAUAACAUGUUGAACCGCAUGGUUCAACAGUGAAAGACGGUCCUGCUGUCACUUAUAGAUGGAUCCGCGCCGCAUUAGCUAGUUGGUAAGGUAACGGCUUACCAAGGCAACGAUGCGUAGCCGACCUGAGAGGGUGAUCGGCCACACUGGAACUGAGACACGGUCCAGACUCCUACGGGAGGCAGCAGUAGGGAAUCUUCCGCAAUGGGCGAAAGCCUGACGGAGCAACGCCGCGUGAGUGAAGAAGGUCUUCGGAUCGUAAAACUCUGUUAUUAGGGAAGAACAAAUGUGUAAGUAACUAUGCACGUCUUGACGGUACCUAAUCAGAAAGCCACGGCUAACUACGUG